RNAcentral lists this ribosomal RNA (253 nucleotides) under uncultured bacterium. RNAcentral's name for it is "partial 16S ribosomal RNA". It matches the Rfam family "Bacterial small subunit ribosomal RNA", at positions 524 to 776 of the family's 1533-position model. The record is from RNAcentral.
UACGUAGGGGGCGAGCGUUGUCCGGAUUCAUUGGGCGUAAAGAGCUCGGAGGCGGCUUGGCAAGUCGGAUGUGAAAACUCCAGGCUCAACCUUCAGAGGUCGACCGAAACCAUCUGGCUAGAGUCCGGGAGAGGAGAGUGGAAUUCCUGGUGUAGCGGUGAAAUGCGCAGAUAUCAGGAAGAACACCCGUGGCGAAAGCGGCUCUCUGGAACGGUACUGACGCUGAGACGCGAAAGCGUGGGGAGCGAACAGG